GAUUUAUCGGGAUAUUGUACACUGAAUACAUAGGUGUAUGAAGAAGACCUGGUGAAGUGAAACAUCUCAGUAACCAGAGGAAAAGAAAACAAUAACAGACCACUAAUUUUUUCACGGAUUGUCACAAGCAAUUGUGCUGAUUCGUGUUAAAGAUUGGUGGUUGUGAUUCCCUUAGUAGUGGCGAGCGAACGGGGAACAGCCUAAACCUAUAUGAUGUUGGGUUAUCAAUUGAUUGAUCUUAUGAUUUUUCUUGAGAUAAUCCUUAAAGGACAGGCCGUUGUCAUAUAGGUGUUGUAAGAUAUAAUGUCGGCUACCUGCGAUGCCGGUCAUGUCUAUAAAUGUAUAAUCGAAGACUCCUGGAACGGAGCAUCAAAGAAGGUGAUAAUCCUGUAGAUGAAAUACAUAUAUAUACAUGAUGUUAUAUUCUUGAGUAUGGCGGAACACGAGAAAUUCCGUCUGAAUUUGCCGCGACUAUGCGGUAAGGCUAAAUACUGACAGUGAUCGAUAGUGAACCAGUACCGUGAGGGAAAGGUGAAAAGCAGCCCGGAGAGGGCGGUGAAAUAGAUCCUGAAACCGUGUGCUUACAAUGAGUCAGAGUCCAACCCCGAUUUCGGUCGGGGCGGAUGAUGGCGUUCCUAUUGAAGAAUGAGCCUGCGAGUUAUUUCAUGUGGCAAGCUUAAGGACUUUUGGUCUGUAGGCGUAGCGAAAGCGAGUCUUAACGGGCGAUUAAGUCGCAUGAAAUAGACCCGAAACUGGGUGAGCAAUCCAUGGCCAGGUUGAACUCCGAUGAUAAAUCGGAGGGAGGACCGAACCCACGCGCCGUGCAACACGCGGGGAUGAGCUGUGGAUAGCGGAGAAAUUCCAAUCGAACUCAGUAAUAGCUGGUUCUCCUCGAAAUAGCUUUAGGGCUAGCUGUAUGUGUUCCUAUCGGUGGUAGAGCACUGGAUGGGGUCGGGGUCCCUCGGGAUACCCACCUCAAUCAAACUCCGAAUGCCGGUAAUUAAAAGCAUGCAAGUCAGACCAUGGGGGCUAAGCUCCAUAGGUCAAAAGGGAAACAGCCCAGAUCGUCAAUUAAGGUCCCAAAAUCACUGCUAAGUGUAAAAGGUGGUGUCAAUUCUCAAACAACCAGGAUGUUGGCUUAGAAGCAGUCAUCAUUUAAAGAAAGCGUAAUAGCUCACUGGUCAAGAGUUUUCGCGCCGAAAAUGUACCGGGGCUAAGCAGUGUACCGAAAUUACGAAUUUCUAUAGCAAUAUAGAAGUGGUAGAGGAGCAUUCCUAUCUGCUGUGAAGUCGGAUCCGUGAGGACCGGUGGAGCGAUGGGAAGAGAAAAUGCAGGCACAAGUAGCACUAAUUCCGAUGAAAAUUCGGAACACCGAAAACCUAAGGGUUCCAGGGCAACGAGAAUCGUCUCUGGGUUAGUCGGUCCUAAGGCGAGGCCUUCGCAAGGGGGCGUAGUCGAUGGAUGAGCAGGUUAAUAUUCCUGCACUUAUUAUAGUUUGUAUAUAUGUGCGGAUCUCAACGGUAUGAGCGUAUUUGCUAAUGUACGUCCCGCAAGGGAGAGUCCAACGCUUCGGCAGAGGACAAUUCGUGUUCGAGAGGUUCCUAGAAAAGCAUAUAUGCGCUCGGCUAUAAUAAACCGUACCGCAAACCGACACAGGUAGGUAGGUCGAGAAGACCAAGGUGUACGAGAGAAACAUGGUUAAGGAACUCGGCAAAACAGCGGCCGUAACUUCGGGAUAAGGCCUCCCCGCCCUCGGGCGGGGUCAACAAAAGACUCCAUGCGACUGUUUACCAAAAACACAGCUCCCUGCUAACUCGUAAGAGGAUGUAUAGGGGGCGAUGCCUGGCCAGUGUCAGNNNNNNNNNNNNNNNNNNNNNNNNNNNNNNNNNNNNNNNNNCGCCGGCGGUAACUAUAACCGUCCUAAGGUAGCGAAAUUCCUUGUCGGGUGAGUUCCGACCCGCACGAAUGGCAUAACGGUGUGGAGACUGUCUUGACCAUGUACUCGGCGAAAAUGCAAGAGUCGUGAAGAUGCGACUUACCCGCAGCUAGACGAAAAGACCCCAUGAAGCUUUACUACAAUUUGACAUUGGUACAUUGCUCCAUAUGUUCAGCAUAGGUGGGAGCCUAGGCGCCAGUGAGAUACCACCCUUGUGUUGUGGUGUAUCUAAUCUCUUACCCUGAAUCGGGUAGGGGAGACAGUGUCUGAUGGGUAGUUUAACUGGGGCGGUUGCCUCCCAAAUCAUAACGGAGGCGUUUACAAAGGUUGGCUUAAUCCGGAUGGAAAUCGGAUUGGACGUGCAAACGCAGAAGCCAGCUUUACUGCAAGGGUUACCACCCGAGCAGUCACGAAAGUGGAAGUUAGUGAUCCGACCGUUCAACAUAGGAUGGCGGAAGCUCAACGGAUAAAAGUUACUCUGGGGAUAACAGGCUGAUCACGCCCAAGCGUCCACAGCGACGGCGUGGUUUGGCACCUUAACAUAUCGGGGUGCACAAACAGCAAUGUUUUUCCUAAUUCUUUUCGUUUAAAAUAUAAAUUUAGAUAGAGACAAAAUAAAAUCGGCUAUAACGGUGAACCCGUCAGCAAUGAAAAGUUGCCCGGCAACACCGUGGGAAGUCCGCCUUUGGCGGACCCCGUAACGACUGACCCGAAAGGGGAGAUCUA
This 2662-nucleotide ribosomal RNA is filed under the name Candidatus Collierbacteria bacterium CG10_big_fil_rev_8_21_14_0_10_44_9. RNAcentral describes it as "bacterial LSU rRNA". It matches the Rfam family "Bacterial large subunit ribosomal RNA", at positions 137 to 2640 of the family's 2925-position model. Lineage: Bacteria; Candidatus Collieribacteriota. The record is from RNAcentral.